This 29-nucleotide non-coding RNA is filed under the name Rattus norvegicus (Norway rat). The record is from RNAcentral. Lineage: Eukaryota; Metazoa; Chordata; Mammalia; Rodentia; Muridae.
UACACUACUUUUUUUUCUUCCUUCAGUUU